This is a long non-coding RNA of Sarcophilus harrisii (Tasmanian devil), 507 nucleotides long. RefSeq lists it as uncharacterized. NCBI's taxonomy places the organism in Eukaryota, Metazoa, Chordata, Mammalia, Dasyuromorphia, Dasyuridae. The transcript has 3 exons. The record is from RefSeq and is a predicted model, not a curated record.
UCCUAUUAUUUGUCAUUGAAGAACAAAGGCCCAGUCAUCAAGAAUUACCUGCCAAUUCGAAUGCUCACACAUAUUGUCUUGUGUCAUAGUCCUACAGUUCACCUGUGAUGUCGUAAUUUAUUCUCAGUGGUCUCUGACCAUUUCUGCAAAUUGUUUAAACACUGAAAAGUCAUUCAGAAAGCUGAAAAUUAUAAACUCUCUUGAUUCUUGUUUGCUCACCUUAUAAGAAUGUGUAAAAAUAGUCCCCUGCUCUCACCUCCCAUUUAUAUUUCCCCCUUUUUUUUCCAGCUCUAAAACAACCAACCAAGUUAGUAGCUUGCCAUCCUUGAAGAGGAAGAGGGAAAUGGUGCUGGCAAUAUAUAGGUCGUUGGAGCUGUAAAACAACCAACCAAGGAAAGUAGCUUGCCAUUCUCAGAGGAAGCAGGAAAAGGUCUUGGUCAGAUCCAGGUCAUUUGGAGGGGUUUCUCAACAGUACUGCGCCUUGAUGAAGUAGAGUCCCGUUUUGAU